UCGGGCGUGGUGUAUGGCACACCCUCCCUCCCACUUAGGAGUAGCUGCGAUCAAGUUUGAUGGGAGAGACCCAGGUUCGAUUCCUGGCGCCCGAA
Molecule: non-coding RNA, 95 nt
Organism: Mycena galericulata
Lineage: Eukaryota; Fungi; Basidiomycota; Agaricomycetes; Agaricales; Mycenaceae
Source: the annotation of a GenBank genome assembly